This 67-nucleotide transfer RNA is filed under the name Panesthia angustipennis cognata. RNAcentral describes it as "tRNA-Cys". The record is from RNAcentral. Lineage: Eukaryota; Metazoa; Arthropoda; Insecta; Blattodea; Blaberidae.
AGUCUUAUAUUCAAGUAAUGAUAACAGAAUGCAAUUCUGUAGGGGUAAAUUUAAUUUACUAAGACUU